Molecule: transfer RNA, 73 nt
Filed under: Bos taurus (domestic cattle)
Lineage: Eukaryota; Metazoa; Chordata; Mammalia; Artiodactyla; Bovidae
Also listed under: 3 other names
Rfam family: tRNA
About the family: Transfer RNA (tRNA) molecules are approximately 80 nucleotides in length. Their secondary structure includes four short double-helical elements and three loops (D, anti-codon, and T loops).
Source: Rfam by way of RNAcentral
UUCCUGGUGGUCCAGUAGCUAAGAUUCCUUGCUCCUAAUGCAGGAGGUCCAGGUUCGAUCCCUGGUCAGGAAC